RNAcentral lists this ribosomal RNA (376 nucleotides) under uncultured marine eukaryote. RNAcentral describes it as "bacterial SSU rRNA". The record is from RNAcentral.
UGCUGUUAGAAAGCUCGUAGUUGGAUCAAGAGCUGGACAGUGCAAGGUGGCCCCUCGCGGCAGUCAGCUACGGUUGGUUGUCGCGUUGCGGAUCAACCCCUUGCGCUGAACUGUCCACUCUAACAGACCGGAACGGUUCCCUGCGAGUAGACUCCUUAAUUGGGGUUGAAAGCGCCUCGCAUAAACCAUAUGCCUACGGGACGCCGGUCAAUGUUACUGUGAACAAACCAGCGUGUCCAAAACAGGCUACUGCCUGAAUGUUCGAGCAUGGAAUAACAAGGGAUCGGUUCUCUCGGUUCUUUUUGUUGGUUUUUAACCCGAGAAGGAGAAAUUCAGGCCACGGUGUCUGAGUUGGGUUCCCCUUCACCUCGUGAAG